CUUCAGCGGUGUUACUUUUAGGCAGCCUCCAUGUUCAUCCAUCACUGGGCCGCAACAUGCGGCCACGCCGAUCCCGCACUUGAGGCACUUGUGUCCCUCGGAGGCGCGCGAGCUUCGAGAAACUGAAGACAGAGCAUGUACAGAAUUUUAAGCACCAUCUCUUCAAAUACCAGAGACUUCCAGUGAGGAGGAAAACCCAAACUUUUUCAAGUUCAUGGACAAAUAAUAAGAAAGGCCUUGGAAAUGUGAUGUUUCCUGAAAGCAGAAGGUUCUGGCAUCACCUUAUCCAUCUGCUCCUCCACAGCCAACACAGGAUAUUUCAGAGUACACCCGCUUCUGCCUGACAUAGACAAGUCUCUUAAGAAAUACAGCAAUGACUUUAGAACUCAGCUGCAAUUGAACCUCCUAACAUCUCUUAUACUGAGACCAUAAGAUAUCAAGACUGGGAGUUUACAAGCAUCUCACAUUGUGACCCCAUGGAAGAAAACCUGCAAGUAAUAAAAACCAUGAGAUCCAGUCUGAAAAUGAGAUGUUAAAGAUAGGUUUCAAUUUGAGCUGUUUGCGCUGGCUGUGCUUCUUCUGUGACCAGAUCAUCCCCUGUGCCCUUCUGACUCAAAAGUUCCCUUGGCAGAGCUGUGAGAGCAGCUGCUUUGAAGCUUAUGCCACCUGUAACCACUGAUGAGCUAAUCACCACUGACUAUCCAGCAAGAGUUGUUGUAAAGUGGUUUCAGUUUGGCAUUACUCUUUGGCUGAGUAAUCUGAUUACUUGUCUAAUGCAUUUGUCUGUCUUUGAUGUGUUCUGUCACUGUUUGACUCCAGAACCCACCUAGUGACAAUUGCUCUGACACUUCAGAAGAGGUAUUCAUAUAUUUGGCACCUCCUUUGACAUGUUAUGGCAACUGGAAAAAAGGAUGCACCACGGGGGCUCGGCAGUAAGUGCCUCUGAAGUAGGAACAGGCUCUUGUUAUCACUGUGGUAGCAUAGAUGUACUUGAGAAUAUUCCUGUUUGGAAAGUAUGCAGUAGCAUCCCUGACAGAAGUAAUUUUUGGCUAAAAUAUAUGCUUCAGUUUAGAAAGCACUGAUAUGAGUUUUUAUCUGCAUUUGGGCAUGUGGCCUUAAUUAAAUAGUUCAAGGUGAUAUAGGGAGGCAAAGACAUAACUUAAACAUACGGACCCUAUGUUCCCUGAUUCCUAGUGCAGUGAUUCAUCCAGGGAGAGUUUUGCCAAAGUAGAUAAGUAUUUUAAGAUGGAAUAAGUCUGUCCGGGCAAUAAAGGUAGAUCAAGAUGAUGGCUCCACAGUUCCGCUUCUAUACCUUUCCCAGAUCAGCUAUGUAUGUAAACAUACCCUUUUUGAUAGAUGAGACAAUACAUCUUUUCUUAGGGGUAUUUUAUUUACAUUGAAAAAAUUGCCCUUUACAUUGAGAAGUGAUUUCUAAUAGAUGACAUUGCCCUUUUAUGUGCUUCUAUUUUCUGUUUUCUUUUCUUUCCACUGGUUUUCCACUGCAAAUUUCAAGUAUGCUAACUGUAGUUCCAUUUCAUGCUUCUUCCUCAAGGUGGAUUAUAGACAUAAAAUGACACAGUGAUGGGUUAAUAAGCUUUUCAUUAGUCUGUAAAGAUCUAACUGAUGUGUCUGAAGCACAGUUUCAAAACAUGAAAAGAAUUUAUCUGAUGCAAAAGGUCUUCCUGAAUUUGUAGCCAGUCUGAAGUAACAGUUCCCUCUUCUGUUCCUCUCAAGAGGUGUUAAUUUAAGGAUCAAUGAUGAUGCCUAGAGGCAACAGUUAAAGAACUGGUCCUUUAAUAAAAAGAAAAGGAAAUCAUACUUCUGCUCUUGUUUCUUAGAGUGUGGGGUAUUGUUCUAUAAUGAGGAAUAAUGACAGCUUACUGAGGAUGCAUAGAGUAUGUUAGUGAGAUGGUGUCCUUCUAGAAUGAGAGAUGCUGUGGAAGAAAACAGCAUCUCUUACAUAUAAGCUGGUAGUUGAACCUCCUUUUAUAGUUAGUGGAGAGAAGUGGGAGCUUCUUAGAUUUGAUUUGUUUCAUCCUGAAGUAGAGAGCUACAAUGGGUCAGAUGAACUGUACCCUAAAAUAUGCCCUUUUCCCUGUGUUGCUUACGUAAAGAAGGUCUUGAGUGACUAGCCUUACGGCAGACAUCUGCUGAGGUGUCCCACCCCAUGAGCCAAUGAUGCCAAUUGCUUUAGGUUUAGAAUAGUGACUGUGAUGCAGUGAAAGUGUUUUAUCCCAAAUUUGAUGAACUGAUGCCAUGAAUAUUUAGGCCUUAUUUAUUUUGUCUAAAUGUAGAUGUCUCAUAGGGUGUCUGAAUUAAGCUUGCUGUAGAUUACUUCAGUAUCCAGUGCCAUAGACAUCUCUACAGGAAGAUUCAGCACAACCAAGGCCUGAUGUAUGUCUCUUUGGGGACUCUGUCUCACAGAAUCACAGAAUGGUUGAGAUUGGAAGGGACCUCUGGAGAUCAUCCAGUCCAACUCCCCCUGCUCAACAGGGUCAUCUAGAGCACGUUACCUAGCACCCUGUCCAGACGGCUUUCGAAUAUCUCCAAGGAAGGAGACUCCACAACCUCUCUGGGCAACCUGUUCCAGUGCUCAGUCACCCUCACAGUAAAGAUUUCCUCAUGUUCAGAUGGACCUUCCUGUGUCUGUUUGCAUCUGUUGCCUCUCGUCCUGUCACUGGGCACCACUAAGAAGAGUCUGGCCCCAUCUUCUUUACAUCUUCCCUUAAAAUACUUAUACAUAUUGAUAAGAUCCCCCCUGAGUCUUCUCUUCUCCAGGGUGAACAGGCCCAGCUCUCUCAGCCUCUCCUCAUACAAGAGAUGUUCCAGUCCCUUCAUUACCUUUAUGGCCCUUUGCUGGACUUGAUCCAGUAACUCCAUGUCUCUUUUGUAUUGGGGAGCCCAGAACUGGACACAGCACUCCAGAUGUGGCCUCACCAGGGCUGAGUAGAGGGGGAUGACCACCUCCCUUGAUCUGCUGGAAACACUCUUCCUAAUGCAGCCCAGGAUACCAUUGGCCUUCUUGGCCACGAGGGCACAUUGCCGGCUCAUGCUCCACCGGGAUUGUCCACCAGGACCCCCAGAGAUUUCUCUGCAGAGCUGCUUUCCAGCAGGUCAACCCCCAGCCUGUACUGGUGCAUGGCGUUAUUACUCCCUAGGUGAAGGACUCUGCACUUCCCCUUGUUGAACUUCAGAAGGUUCCUCUCCACCCAUCUCUCCAGCCUGUCGAGGUCCCUCUGAAUGGCAGCACAGCCCUCUGGUGUAUCAGCCACUCCUCAGAGUUUUGUAUCAUCAGCAAACUUGCUGAGGGUGCACUCUGUCUCACCACUCAGGUCAUUACUGAAGAUGUUAAACAGUAAUAGCCCCAGUAUUGACCCCGGGAUACACCACUAGCUACAGGCCUCCAACUAGACUUUGAAACACUGGUCACUAUCACUGAUCUCUCUCUUGGCAGUGUUGGAACCUCAGUGAUGCUUCUCACCUGGGUAUCAUAGGUAGCAGCUUAAAGUUGGGGUGGGGGGUGAAUCUCAGUCCAGGAUGGUCAGUGUGUCUGCUCAUCUCCCACAGUUUCAUGAGGAAUGCUGAAAAGUCCUGUUUUUGUAUUCUGAUAUGGAACAAAAAAAUGUUUGAUCUAGUCUUGUAAGCAAUACAUGGUAAAACUUCAAAGGAUCAGAAGAAGCUUGCUAGGUUUUACUUUCUUUAAACUUUUAACUACUUGAGGAGAUGCUUGGAAGGCAGAAAAAUGUCAGUCUAUUGGAAUAUUCCCGUCACUUCAUACAGUUCUUCUUUUAGAAUCAAGCAGCAUUUUUUAAUAAAAGCCAUUAUCAAUUUAA
Dromaius novaehollandiae (emu) is the source of this 3833-nucleotide long non-coding RNA. RefSeq lists it as uncharacterized. The record is from RefSeq and is a predicted model, not a curated record. NCBI's taxonomy places the organism in Eukaryota, Metazoa, Chordata, Aves, Casuariiformes, Dromaiidae. The transcript has 5 exons.